This 457-nucleotide ribosomal RNA is filed under the name uncultured bacterium. RNAcentral's name for it is "bacterial SSU rRNA". It matches the Rfam family "Bacterial small subunit ribosomal RNA", at positions 29 to 507 of the family's 1533-position model. The record is from RNAcentral.
AACGAACGCUGGCGGCAUGCCUAACACAUGCAAGUCGAACGGAUGGUUUCGGCCAUCAGUGGCGCACGGGUGAGUAACGCGUGGGAAUCUGCCCAGCAGUGGGGGAUAACCUCUGGAAACGGAGGCUAAUACCGCAUACGCCCCUCGGGGGAAAGGCUUGCUGCUGCUGGAGGAGCCCGCGUCGGAUUAGGUAGUUGGUGGGGUAACGGCCUACCGAGCCUGUGAUCCGUAGCUGGUCUGAGAGGAUGAUCAGCCACACUGGGACUGAGACACGGCCCAGACUCCUACGGGAGGCAGCAGUGGGGAAUUUUGGACAAUGGGCGCAAGCCUGAUCCAGCCAUGCCGCGUGCAGGAUGAAGGCCUUCGGUUGUAAACUGCUUUUGUACGGAACGAAAGACUCUUCUAAUAAAGAGGUCCGAUGACGGUACCGUAAGAAUAAGCACCGGCUAACUACGUG